This 73-nucleotide transfer RNA is filed under the name Pleurotus ostreatus PC15. RNAcentral's name for it is "tRNA-Ile (TAT) (tRNA-Ile-TAT-1-1)". It matches the Rfam family "tRNA". From Rfam's summary of the family: Transfer RNA (tRNA) molecules are approximately 80 nucleotides in length. The record is from RNAcentral. Lineage: Eukaryota; Fungi; Basidiomycota; Agaricomycetes; Agaricales; Pleurotaceae.
GCCCGGCUAGCUCAGUGGUCAGAGCUUCGUACUUAUGAUGCGAGGGUCACCAGUUCGAUCCUGGUGCUGGGCA